UGAAAAUCGUGGAGACGGCCGGUCACGUUUUGUUCUGAACAGAAUUGAAGAUCUUUGAUGAUGAUGAAAGAUGAAGAUCAAUUAUCAUUUGAUUGAAACUUCGAAGACAAGAUGGCUUCAAAAGUUUCUCAUUGAAUGGUUGAUCCCAUGGACCACAACGUCAUGGCAGAUUCUUCGCAUCUAAUGAUUUUACCUGUUCAACUUCUCGCCAACUGUUCGCCUCGAUUUCUGAAACAAGCACGGAUGCAACGGUUCCGAUGUUAUGCCACUCUUCCCUCUGAUUAAUGACGUUCCAGACCAGUGGCUCGCAGAGUCUUCAGAUAAGGAUUCCAGGAUAGUUUCAACAGUCAAUAUUUUGCUGGUAUCCGUGGUUGUCGAAAGAUCCGCGGGGACCAACUCUACAAAGCUUUUGUCCUUCUAACAGGAGAACAUAAUACUCAAUGGAAGGAUGAAUAUAAGUUCUUAAAAAUCUUCUUAUUUCCUAUUCGAAUUCAAAUCAGAAGAAUGCACAGAAUUUACAUCACAAAACAUUAUAAAUUAAAUAAAUUACAAAUUUUAAAUUUCAACAUAAUUUAACACUCAU
RNAcentral lists this long non-coding RNA (583 nucleotides) under Apis mellifera (honey bee). RNAcentral's name for it is "uncharacterized LOC102656601, transcript variant X1". Lineage: Eukaryota; Metazoa; Arthropoda; Insecta; Hymenoptera; Apidae. The record is from RNAcentral.